Saccoglossus kowalevskii is the source of this 855-nucleotide long non-coding RNA. The record is from RefSeq and is a predicted model, not a curated record. NCBI's taxonomy places the organism in Eukaryota, Metazoa, Hemichordata, Enteropneusta, Harrimaniidae.
AAGCAACACAGCAGUUCACAUACUUCAUACAUCAAAUACAGCAAGUUUGUGAUAUUAAUACAUAUAUUUUAUGUUUUCUUUUGUUUAUGACGUUGUUGAGUGAGUCGGAGUGAUGUCACCAUGAAUCUGAAUAAUUAUUUAUCAUGUUCUAUAUGGGUUUCACAACACACAUGACAUAUGUUGACACGAUUUUCUCAUGAUGAAAAUAUUAUUUUCAGCAAAUGAACCGACACAUAUUAAUUAUUUGUUAUGUGAUUUGAUUUAUAAUAACAAUGUUAUGUCUAUUUUAUCCAAAUUCCAGGCUGAACGUUUUGCCAGAAGUCAACCUGUAUUAACUGCGGCACGCCCAACAGCUGAACGUUCAACUAGUAGUCACUGUCACAUCCAAUAGCACAAUAGCAGGAGCCGUUGUCGGGACAGGGAACAAGAAAAAAAGGGGUGGGGGAAGAAAUGUCUUUGCUAAUACAAUUUUAGACAAGACAGUGUCAACAACAACCAGAAUCACUUCAUACAUAUUUGAAGUUACGUUGUUUUGUGAAUUACACUCGUGAAUGUCAAUGGCAAAUUUUAAGACAAAUUCUGUGUUAUGUGUCUUUGUUAUAAUAUUAGACCUUCUUUCUAAAAAUCGUGUUGUAUUUUAGUAUACCACAGCUAACAAGUCAUGAAUGACACUGUCUUCGCUAGCCGUCAUUAAAAAAUGCAACAUAUAAUUUAACCAGUUUGUGGCAUGGACAGUACCUGUGACAACAAAUUUUACUUUCUAAUUCUUUAUAUACAUGUACAGUUCUAGUUUGUGGUCUUAAACUAGUUUCAAUAUUAAUAAAGUAUUAAUAAAGUACAUGGAUCCAGAAAAAA